GUGAAAUGGAGAGGGUUUAGGAGUAGUAGUAGAGGGGUAUUUUGUUAGUAUUUGGAGGAAUUUAGUAGAUGGUAUGAUAAUAGUUAUUUAUUAGUAAAUGGAGUGAUUAAGGGAUAUAGAGAGAGGUUUUUAGGAAUUGUGUUGUUGGUAUUUUAGGGUUUUUGUUAGUUGUGAUUUUUUUUUUUAGAUGGAGUUUUGUUUUGUUGUUAGGUUGGAGUGUAGUGGUGUGA
Molecule: unclassified non-coding RNA, 230 nt
Filed under: Hevea brasiliensis (rubber tree)
Lineage: Eukaryota; Viridiplantae; Streptophyta; Magnoliopsida; Malpighiales; Euphorbiaceae
Source: RNAcentral